This 389-nucleotide long non-coding RNA is filed under the name Monodelphis domestica (gray short-tailed opossum). RNAcentral's name for it is "lncRNA (ENSMODG00000040792.1)". The record is from RNAcentral. Lineage: Eukaryota; Metazoa; Chordata; Mammalia; Didelphimorphia; Didelphidae.
AGAAGGAGGGAAAUACUUGCCUAAUAAUAGCAAGAAGCAAUACCUAAUGUAGCCAAAGGAGUUGUUGAAGGAAUUAUAUCUCUGGAGUCAGCCAAUCGGGAGAGACCAACUAGAGGAAAAAGUAAGAAAGGAGCUCAGAGCAGAAUCCAAAACCAUCUCUAGGAGACAUCAGGGCCUAGUGCUCUAUUCACUGUGCCACCUAGCUGGAAUCUAUGUCUUGACCAACAGAACCUGGAAUGGAAGAAAGUGACUAAACCCAGAUCCUCACCUCAGACAUUUUACCAAAACUGGAAGGUAUUCUGGGGCUUCUCUUGCUACCCACAGAGUAGCCCAAACUAUUCUAUUUCCUUGGAAGAAAGAAUAUUGAUUGAAGAAAGAAGACUGAUCUC